Molecule: non-coding RNA, 357 nt
Organism: Terrapene triunguis (Three-toed box turtle)
Lineage: Eukaryota; Metazoa; Chordata; Testudines; Emydidae
Source: the annotation of a RefSeq genome assembly
AUGCGGUUUUUGCUCCUUUUAAUGUUCACUAUGGCGGCUCUGGAAGGUGUCCGGUCGCAGGUCCAGCUGGUGGAGUCCGGAGGGGAUGUGAAAAAGCCUGGAGACUCUCUCCGCCUCUCCUGCAAAGCCUCCGGGUUCACUUUCAGCAGCUACUACAUGGAUUGGUUCCGCCAGGCUCCCGGGAAGGGGCUGGAGUGGGUGGCUCAGAUUAGACCCGAUGCAUCCAACCAGUGGUAUUCCCCGGCUGUUCAAGGGCGAUUCACCAUCUCCAGGGACAAUCCCAACAGCCUGCUGUAUCUGCAAAUGACCGGCCUGAAGCCCGAGGACACCGCCCGGUAUCACUGUGCCAGACACACA